RNAcentral lists this long non-coding RNA (1425 nucleotides) under Mus pahari (shrew mouse). RNAcentral describes it as "lncRNA (MGP_PahariEiJ_G0005401.1)". Lineage: Eukaryota; Metazoa; Chordata; Mammalia; Rodentia; Muridae. The record is from RNAcentral.
CCUUCUGCGUCCACCCGCACGGGCGACAAUACAGCAAGGAACAAAUGAUUCAAACCCUCCUCUACAGCCUCCACCUGUGAACCCGAACGAGGUGGAAACCGCUCGGAUGCGUAGCUGGCCUUAGACAGAAACUCUUCAUGAUCAAGGACCCGUUCUUCAUUUUUUUUUUUUUUUUAAAGAGAAAUUCGGUGUAAAUCCAGUAAACAUCAGAAAAUUCCAGACACUGAACGGAAAUGAACUCUUGCUAUGACUUGAAUGUGGAAUAUUUUCCACAGGCUCAUAGGCUCAAACACUUGGUCUCCAACCAACAGCAGGGACCCUCGCCGAUGGAUGGAGGAUACUGUGGACAAGCAUCUGAAGGAGGCGGUGUGGGGGCCUUCUUCUGGCCUAGUUCUCGACUUCUUGGCUGGUCGAGAUGUGAGCAGGGCCAUGCAGCCCGUCUUCCCUGCCUGAUGCUCAGUAAUAUCUCAAGUGUGAAUCAGAAUGAGCCUCUCUUCCUAGGAGUUGCUUUGUCUGCUAUUUUGUCCUAGUCACGAGAGAAGGAACCACCACAACGCUGGGACCUAGACCAUCUUCCCACAGGAAGCAGUCGCAAAGAAUCUCCUGCCUGUAAUCGCCCUUUAAUUAGCUGACAGAGGAGCCCGGCCACAUGCUUGGAGGAUAAAGACACUGCUGGCAAGCCUUAGGAGUUUGAAUCCCAGGUACUUUGUGGUGGAAGGAGGCAAUCAACUCCCACAGACCGCCCUCUGACCUCCAAACGUGCACGCAUGGGCGCCUGCAUGCGAGUGUGAGCGCACAGAUGUUCCGUCUUACACACUCCUUAGGCUUUUCACUGCAGAAUAAAGUCUAGCCUGUGAUAAGAGAACUGUGUCCUGAGCCUGAUUUCUCCAUACGCCCCUAAGCUCUGGCCACACGUUUCAGCUUCUUGCCUUUGUAUAUAGAGUUCAUUCUGCCAGGAAUGUCUUCUCUCUCACCCUGGAAACUCCUCCCUCGGUGCAUAUGACCUCGUUCCAGAGUCACUGUGCUACCGAGCCCUUUCAGGUCAUGUUCUGGGAGAACAAGCUGCUCGCUCCUCUGCUGGCACAUACUGCUUAUUCCGACAGCACAGUGCCUGCUCAAAGUUAUUAUCUUCUGUCUUUGCCACUUGAGUCCAAAAGCAAGGUCUGAAUCUUGCUUAGCUCUGGAUAUCAUGGAACCUGGAGCUAUAUGCCAGAUAGUAAUAGGACCUCAAUAUGUUUGUAUUUUUAGAAUCAAUUAGUCUAUAGAAUGGCUACAAAAAGUGAGAAUCUGGUUGUGUGCCAAACUGCUAUACAGAAUAUGAACUGUGUAGAAUACGAUUGUUAUGUUCCCAACUACAUGUCAGGAUCCAUCUUUACUUUAAAAGAAGAACAGAAAACACCAGAAGUCACCAUUUUUGUUUAAGUG